AGCCUGAUCCAGCAAUGCCGCGUGAGUGAAGAAGGCCUUCGGGUUGUAAAGCUCUUUUGUCAGGGAAGAAAAGGCUACGGAUAAUACCUGUGGCUCAUGACGGUACCUGAAGAAUAAGCACCGGCUAACUACGUGCCAGCAGCCGCGGUAAUACGUAGGGUGCAAGCGUUAAUCGGAAUUACUGGGCGUAAAGCGUGCGCAGGCGGUUUUGUAAGACUGUCGUGAAAUCCCCGGGCUCAACCUGGGAAUGGCGAUGGUGACUGCAAGGCUAGAGUUUGGCAGAGGGGGGUAGAAUUCCACGUGUAGCAGUGAAAUGCGUAGAUAUGUGGAGGAACACCGAUGGCGAAGGCAGCCCCCUGGGUCAAAACUGACGCUCAUGCACGAAAGCGUGGGGAGCAAACAGGAUUAGAUACCCUGGUAGUCCACGCCCUAAACGAUGUCUACUAGUUGUCGGGUCUUAAUUGACUUGGUAACGCAGCUAACGCGUGAAGUAGACCGCCUGGGGAGUACGGUCGCAAGAUUAAAACUCAAAGGAAUUGACGGGGACCCGCACAAGCGGUGGAUGAUGUGGAUUAAUUCGAUGCAACGCGAAAAACCUUACCUACCCUUGACAUGGAUGGAAUCCCGGAGAGAU
Molecule: ribosomal RNA, 634 nt
Filed under: Oxalobacteraceae bacterium Ri1Pw_5693
Lineage: Bacteria; Pseudomonadati; Pseudomonadota; Betaproteobacteria; Burkholderiales; Oxalobacteraceae
Description: bacterial SSU rRNA
Rfam family: Bacterial small subunit ribosomal RNA
Source: RNAcentral